UUGGUUCUCUGAGGGGGAGGGGAGGAGCUGCAUUCCCCAGGGGUCUUUGCGCCUGGAAGGGUGGGUGAAGCCUGCUGGGAGACCUAGAGUGCUUUUCUUGGUUUGCUGAGAAGUACGUCGACCCUUGCAGCUUACAGAGUGUUCAAGGCUCCAGAAUCUCUCUCCUUGUUGAACUGGAAUUCCCACUGAAACUUCUACAGAAGGAAAUCAUGCUUUACAUCUCUUUCUACAAACAGUAGUAGCCAAGCACUAGCCAAGUAGUAUUCUGCUUACGGAGUUGUUUGCAGAGCAAUAGUAAAUUAAAUAACGUUUAUAUAAGCAGCCUAUUAAUGUAUUAUCAGAUCCUACUAGGUUGUUAGUGUGAACAGGCCUAAGUUCACCCCAAGUGACUUUGUGCGUUUACCUUAGAUGUCAUGUUAGCAUUUGAUCAUUAGCUUCCAGUGUAGCUGGAGAGAACUAGAAAUCUCAAAUAGACCAGUGUUCUCCAGGAGAUGCUUGAACAUUGCACUGAAAAUAGUAUCACAAGAUUUUUAAUGUAGGCGUUUGGGAAAGUGUAUUAUUAGCCUGGAUAAAUCUAAGCCUCUGUGUCCCUAACUGCUUAGAAGGCAGCAAAGUAGAGAAUUGCUGUUUGAUGCUACCUCGAUUCCUUAAAUAUUUUCCUAGUAUUUACUGCAGCUUCAUCCUGUGGCCAUACUACAUGAAUGGCCCACCACUCAACUCUGUCAAAGGGAGGAGGCACAUACUGUCCUUUCAGUAUUUUAAGUCAGUUCACUUAGUCUUUCUGAGAUAGAGAGGUAUUAAGAAGAAGCAAGAGUAAGAAGAAAGAUGGAGGAAGAGUGGGAUCAAGACAGGCAAGAUCACAUCCACAGGCAUCAUGAUAAGACUUCAGAAAAAAAUAUUUUUGGCUGAUAAACCUGAGACAGCUAACCUUUGGCAGUGGAAAUAUGCAACAAAAUCCUUUCAGUUUUAUGCUUCUCUAAUCACUAGAGCAAUUUCUGCACUUCCAAAUCCUCAAUAAACAAUAGUAGAUACCUAUCAAAAGCAUUGUUUUUCAGAAUUAGUUAUUUCACAAAAAUAUUAUUACUGUUUAUCUCUUUCAUCCAUAUUCUGACUAUGACACCUACAGGCCAGAGGAGAACUGUGCAAAAGUGAAGACAAUUUUAGGCAAAAAAAAGAAUAAUCUUUUCUCACGCGCUCCAUCACAAGGAAGGAUGUUUAUGAUGAGACACACCACUCACAUUACUGAGCUAACAUUACUGAAUUUGUGUGGUUCAUUUGUGGUUUGUUUUUGUUCAGAACAGGAGCAAACAAUUAGUUUCCUAGAGAUCUCUAAAGAUAGCUUUAAAGGCAUAGCUGUAUAUUAGUGAGAAAGAACUUUAUAAAAUGGUUGUGUAAUUCCCAAAAAAUCUACUCACUCUGUAUGUCUGCAUUGUUCCACACAAAAAUAGACAGAUAUUAAAAUAGAGUGCUUUUUCAUCAAUGGUUAUUGAAAAAUUACUGUGAAAACAAUCGUGACAGUUUUUAAUCUUCCUCAGAUUGAAAGGGGUCAGGAAAAAAAACAAUGUUCGCAACAAGGCAAGGGAUGCUGUAAUUUCUGUUUGCCACCGGGCACCAUGAAAACAAUGAAUCUGAGUUGUCAUGGUCUUGUGAGACAUGGUGCCCAAUCCAGCUGUGAUUAUCACUUCAGUUGUGACUCUAUGAAAUGAAAAAAUGUUCAGAAUGUGAAGACCAGGUAUAUUUUCUGAGAACUAUCUAUCACCCACUCUUAUUUCCUGUAAGCUCCUUAAGCAUGUGCUACGUUACUGGGGUCACUUCUUAGAUAAUAACCUGAAUAGAAAAAUUAACUUUAUUUAACACCAAGCAGUAUCUGCUUUUCAGCUCUUAAUGCACAGCAUAGGUGUACUACAGUAUUAGUCAUCAGAGCUUUCGGACACCAAGAUUUUGUUCUUUUGUUGUGCAUGGCAAAAUAUCUGGUGUCUGUUUUAGGGGGUUUCCAAAUCUCCCAGCCAUUGCUUGCUUUGUCCUCUCAUCUUCCUCUGAAAAAAAUGGCUUGUGGUUGUUCUUCAUAGGUACUCCUGAGUACUUCCCAAUGGAAAAAAUCAUAUCCUGGAUGAGGAGAGUUAAAGAGCCAGAUUUAACUGUUAUUGGAUAUCUUUCAACUCCAUCUCCUCUAGUCACUCUGGAUUUAUGUCAGUUUAACUGAAAAUAAUUUUCCUCUCAAAGUCUAUAUCAAGCAAUUGAUGCCACUGUCUCCUAUUCUCCAUUGUUAAAUAAAAGUGCUGUGAUGCAACUAAUUCUUGUUUGUAUU
Molecule: long non-coding RNA, 2308 nt
Organism: Numida meleagris (helmeted guineafowl)
Lineage: Eukaryota; Metazoa; Chordata; Aves; Galliformes; Numididae
Exons: 3
Source: RefSeq, a predicted model, not a curated record